GCAAUACAAAGCUUGAUCCAACUCUCACUGACUUCAUUAAAACAGUGGUUCUCAAAGCCGGUCCACCGCUUGUUCAGGGAAAGCCCCUGGCGGACCGGACUGGUUUGCUUACCUGCCACAUCCGGAGGUUCAGACAAUUGCGGCUCCCACUGGCCGCGGUUAGCUGCUCCAGGCCAAUGGGGAUGCGGGAAGGGCGGCCAGCACGUCCCUUGGCCCGCACCGCUUCC
Molecule: long non-coding RNA, 227 nt
Organism: Chelonia mydas (Green sea turtle)
Lineage: Eukaryota; Metazoa; Chordata; Testudines; Cheloniidae
Exons: 3
Source: RefSeq, a predicted model, not a curated record